UACGUAGGGCGCAAGCGUUAUCCGGAAUUAUUGGGCGUAAAGAGCUCGUAGGCGGUUUGUCGCGUCUGCCGUGAAAGUCCGGGGCUCAACUCCGGAUCUGCGGUGGGUACGGGCAGACUGGAGUGAUGCAGGGGAGACUGGAAUUCCUGGUGUAGCGGUGAAAUGCGCAGAUAUCAGGAGGAACACCGGUGGCGAAGGCGGUUCUCUGGGCCUGUACUGACGCUGAGGAACGAAAGCGUGGGGAGCGAACAGG
RNAcentral lists this ribosomal RNA (253 nucleotides) under uncultured bacterium. RNAcentral's name for it is "partial 16S ribosomal RNA". It matches the Rfam family "Bacterial small subunit ribosomal RNA", at positions 524 to 776 of the family's 1533-position model. The record is from RNAcentral.